CCUCAUCAGAAACUAAUGAUAUUAAAGAGAGCGAACACCGUCUCAGGCCAGGCUCUCUACACGGCAGCAUGGGUCAGACACGUGGGACCAGCACUCCUGAGGAAGUGGAAGAGAGUAUUAUCCUCAACUCUCUUUCCCCUGACAUACACACAAUCUCUUCAUCAAAUCAAUUAGCA
Eptesicus fuscus (big brown bat) is the source of this 176-nucleotide long non-coding RNA. RefSeq lists it as uncharacterized. The record is from RefSeq and is a predicted model, not a curated record. The transcript is spliced from 3 exons. Lineage: Eukaryota; Metazoa; Chordata; Mammalia; Chiroptera; Vespertilionidae.